RNAcentral lists this ribosomal RNA (749 nucleotides) under Acinetobacter rhizosphaerae. RNAcentral describes it as "bacterial SSU rRNA". It matches the Rfam family "Bacterial small subunit ribosomal RNA", at positions 95 to 839 of the family's 1533-position model. The record is from RNAcentral. Lineage: Bacteria; Pseudomonadati; Pseudomonadota; Gammaproteobacteria; Moraxellales; Moraxellaceae.
GCGGCGGACGGGUGAGUAAUGCUUAGGAAUCUGCCUAUUAGUGGGGGACAACAUUUCGAAAGGAAUGCUAAUACCGCAUACGUCCUACGGGAGAAAGCAGGGGAUCUUCGGACCUUGCGCUAAUAGAUGAGCCUAAGUCGGAUUAGCUAGUUGGUGGGGUAAAGGCCUACCAAGGCGACGAUCUGUAGCGGGUCUGAGAGGAUGAUCCGCCACACUGGGACUGAGACACGGCCCAGACUCCUACGGGAGGCAGCAGUGGGGAAUAUUGGACAAUGGGCGCAAGCCUGAUCCAGCCAUGCCGCGUGUGUGAAGAAGGCCUUAUGGUUGUAAAGCACUUUAAGCGAGGAGGAGGCUACUUUAGUUAAUACCUAGAGAUAGUGGACGUUACUCGCAGAAUAAGCACCGGCUAACUCUGUGCCAGCAGCCGCGGUAAUACAGAGGGUGCAAGCGUUAAUCGGAUUUACUGGGCGUAAAGCGCGCGUAGGCGGCUAAUUAAGUCAAAUGUGAAAUCCCCGAGCUUAACUUGGGAAUUGCAUUCGAUACUGGUUAGCUAGAGUGUGGGAGAGGAUGGUAGAAUUCCAGGUGUAGCGGUGAAAUGCGUAGAGAUCUGGAGGAAUACCGAUGGCGAAGGCAGCCAUCUGGCCUAACACUGACGCUGAGGUGCGAAAGCAUGGGGAGCAAACAGGAUUAGAUACCCUGGUAGUCCAUGCCGUAAACGAUGUCUACUAGCCGUUGGGGCCUUUGAGGCU